UGAAAACCACGUAUGUCCAUUUUGCCGAUUUUGAGAUUUUUCGACGGAUUGAAUGUCCAGGUUCAUUUCCGUAUACAGCAUGCUUCACAUAUCUAAAUGGCCAAUGAAAAGUUGUGAAAUCAUGUCAUCUGAUUUUCACGUAUAUCCAUUUGGUGUCAAAGCUGUCAAUCACCCCGCGUAUCUCCCGCCCUGUGGAAGCAUCUCGCUGGUCUCGUGAAGUUUCAAGCUCAGUCAGCACUGGAUAGCCGAUUAACACUGUGAGGUAAAGUAUCAGCAAACGUUUGUUUUUGACAACUGUUCUCAAGUUUAUUAUAUAUUCACAACUAUUAUUUAUCGGUAAAUGGUCUAGACGAAUUAAUUGUCACCGAAUAUUUUUUUUAUUUUUGUGAACCUGGCUGACGAAAGUACGAUAUUGAAGCUCUCCACAGUUUAAAUUAGUUCUAAUCUAGUUCUUCACAGAUUAGUUUGCUUGCUAGUAUGUAAAUAAACUCGGUCUCAUUGAUAAGAUUCAAACUUUUUUUUUCUUAGUCAAACUGAUCAAAUUAUAGCCUGUAAUGCUACUGUCAUGAUUGUCAGUGACUAGAACAUGCCUCACUCAUACUGCUAUCACCGCUUGCCAGAGGCUGAAAAUGUCCAGUACUAGAGUUAUCUUGCUACGUUUUUAUUGUGAAGAUGUUAACGCACGGAUUUCCGAAGUGAAGUGAAACAAUGUUGACUGGGCAUAGCGCUAUAUUUUUUUCUGAUCUGUUUUUCUCCCUUCCUUCAGGAUGUCUGUCUCUGUAAAGGAGCUGUGUGAAUUGAUGAACGUCAACUAUGAUAGGGCUGUUAUUGAGGCGAUUGCGAGGGUCAACAAUGAGGAGGAAGAUUCACUUGAAAGUGACAGUUCUCAGACAGCUGCCAAUGAGGAUUCUCUGGAAAGUGAUAAAGAAAAUCAUUCCGAAAUAGCUGCCAG
Molecule: long non-coding RNA, 952 nt
Organism: Carassius auratus (goldfish)
Lineage: Eukaryota; Metazoa; Chordata; Actinopteri; Cypriniformes; Cyprinidae
Exons: 3
Source: RefSeq, a predicted model, not a curated record